This 789-nucleotide non-coding RNA is filed under the name Orthonevra geniculata. Lineage: Eukaryota; Metazoa; Arthropoda; Insecta; Diptera; Syrphidae. The record is from RNAcentral.
AUAAAGUUUUAUUUUGGCUUAAAAAUUUAUUAUUAAUUUAUAUUAUAUGUAAAUUUUUGUGUGAAUUUAUAUUUAUUUUAAAAAUAAAUAUAUUUUAAUUUAUUUGCAAUAAUUAAUAUUAUUAAUUAAAGAAAUUUAGAAAUAGAAAUAUUAAUUUAAUAUUGACUUAAUUUGUGCCAGCAGUUGCGGUUAUACAAAUAAUAUAAAUAAAUUUUAUUAAUUUAAGUUAAAUUAUUUAUUUUUAAAAUAUAAAAUAAAUUAUUAGGUGAAAUUUUAAUUUAUUAUUAUUAUUUAUUUAUAAAAUUAAUUGAAGCUAAAAAAUUUUAGAUAAAAACUAGGAUUAGAUACCCUAUUAUUUAAAAUAUAAAUUAAAUUAUUUGAGUAGUAGUAGAUAUGUUCUUGAAACUUAAAAAAUUUGGCGGUAUUUUAGUCUAUUCAGAGGAACUUGUUUUUUAAUCGAUAAUCCACGAUGUACCUUACUUAAAUUUGUUGAUCAAUUUAUAUACCGUUGUUAUUAGAAUAUUUUAUAAGAAUAAUAAUUUUCUAUAAUUUUAAUAAAAAUUAAUAUCAAAUCAAGGUGUAGUUUAUAUUUAAGUUUAAAUGAGUUACAAUAAAAUAUAUUUUUGAAUUUAAAUAUGAAAAAUUUAAUGAAAUUGGAUUUGAUAGUAAAUUUAUAAAGACAAAUAAAUUGAUUUUAGCUCUAAAAUAUGUACAUAUCGCCCGUCGCUCUUGUUAUUAAAAUAAGAUAAGUCGUAACAUAGUAGAUGUACUGGAAAGUGUAUCUAGAAU